GUUGCGAUCCCUCUAAGGAUGAUCAGCGAC
Molecule: non-coding RNA, 30 nt
Filed under: Frankia alni ACN14a
Lineage: Bacteria; Bacillati; Actinomycetota; Actinomycetes; Frankiales; Frankiaceae
Source: RNAcentral